Molecule: ribosomal RNA, 253 nt
Filed under: uncultured bacterium
Lineage: Bacteria
Description: partial 16S ribosomal RNA
Rfam family: Bacterial small subunit ribosomal RNA
Source: RNAcentral
UACGGAGGGGGCUAGCGUUGUUCGGAAUUACUGGGCGUAAAGCGCACGUAGGCGGCUUUGUAAGUUAGAGGUGAAAGCCUGGGGCUCAACUCCAGAAUUGCCUUUAAGACUGCAUCGCGUGAAUCGCGGAGAGGUGAGUGGAAUUCCGAGUGUAGAGGUGAAAUUCGUAGAUAUUCGGAAGAACACCAGUGGCGAAGGCGGCUCACUGGACGCGUAUUGACGCUGAGGUGCGAAAGCGUGGGGAGCAAACAGG